GUUGGUAGAUUCAGCUGUGCUGGGCAUCCUGGCUGAGUAACAGAGACAGUGAAUGUAAACAAUUAAGAUGUUCUAAUAAAGGAACCCAAAGAGGGUCCCAGAGGCUAGAAUAUCUACCUCCUGGGGGCAAACAGAGGUUUCCUAAGAACAUGUCAUCUGAGCAGAGUCCUCAAGUAAGACUAGGAGUUGCAUGGGGAGAGGAGGGGAAGGUAGGCCUGCAGACGGCUAGGUGAGCACAGGCACGGGGUGUGGAACAUUUAGCUUAUGGCAAGAGCAGAGGGUACAAAGGAAGGAGAGAGAGGAGGUGGGAUGGGAAGGUCAAUUGUGCCAACUAAGAUUUUUUUCCUGUAGUAAGGGGGAGGGAGGGCCUGAAGGACUUUAAACAGGUGAGCCAUGCAAUCAGCUGUGCUUUGGGAGGAUAGCUCUGGUGGUGACAUGGAGCCUUGAGGAUGGGACUAUACGCAUGAGACUGGGAUCAGAGUGGAGGCAGCUGGCAAGGAGGCAGUCAGGAGACCCUACUAAUAUAGGGAAUCCAAAUGAAGGAGAAAAAUCAUGAUGGCACAGCUAGAAACUAAUAGAGAAGAAAAAAUACCCCAGGCAUUUUGGCCUUGUUUUACAACAUAUUUCUUAGCUUUUUGAUGGCAAUGGAAGCUUUUUUGAAGUUGUCUUUUGUUUCCUGCCUUUACUGUAUGCUCUGAAUUCCCUUCUCUUUCAUGCUUUUUGGUUUGCAUCUAUUCUUUCAUAUUGGAGGCUUUGCUCAAACAUUCUGUGGACCUUAUCUGUUUGCAUAUAUUUAAAUGCAAGGCACUGAAAGACAAAAGACCUAUUCAAGGCAGAGUACAAAGUGGACCAGGGCAGGCUGAUUUCUCAACCUCUCUGUCGUGAGUUGACUCGUGUACUCCCAAAAGCUAUGUUGAAGUUCUAACCCCGGUACCUGUGAAUGUGGCCAUGUUUGGAAAUAGGGUCUUUGCAGAUGUUAGUUAUCAAGGUAAGGUGAGAUCAUAUUGGAUUAGAAUGGGCCCUAAAUCCAAUGGUUUGUGUCUUUAUAAGAAGGUCAUGUGAAAACACAGACACAAAAGAACGUUAUGUGAAGGCAGAGGCAGAGGAUGUCAAGAACUGCUAGCAGCCAUCAGCAACGAGGAGAGAUGCAUGGAACGGACUCUCCCUCAGAGCCUUCACAAGGAACCACCCCUGCUGACACCUGAAUUCUAGCUUCUAGAACUGUGAGCAAAUACAUUUCUGUUAUUUUAAGCCACCCAGUUUGCUGUACUUUGUUACAGCAGCCCUCGGAAACUAACAUAUCCACCCUUGGCUGUUCCUAACUCCUGAGCCUCUCAGGCAUUCCUUCUGAAAGGCAGAUCGGCUGGCUCCCUGUUGCUCUCCCCUUGUGCAGACAUUCUGGGAGAUUACUUCCUUCUUAGCUUCCAAUAUUUGAGGAUAGCUUAUCUCCACUUAUUUUCUGUUUCCUUCAGAGUGUAUAUCUUUCUUUGAAAAAAAGAAAUGCAACUUUAUUAUUUCUAAUCAUGCUUAAUACUAUUAAAUAAGUCAAUAAAAUGAGGCA
RNAcentral lists this long non-coding RNA (1561 nucleotides) under Homo sapiens (human). Its description in RNAcentral is "HSALNT0043830". The record is from RNAcentral. Lineage: Eukaryota; Metazoa; Chordata; Mammalia; Primates; Hominidae.